AGCAAUUAUACCGUGAAACUGCGAAUGGCUCAUUAAAUCAGUUAUCGUUUAUUUGAUAAUACCUUACUACUUGGAUAACCGUGGUAAUUCUAGAGCUAAUACAUGCUGAAAAUCCCGACUUCGGAAGGGAUGUGUUUAUUAGAUAAAAAACCAAUGCCCUUCGGGGCUUUUUGGUGAUUCAUGAUAACUUUACGGAUCGCAUAGCCUUGCGCUGGCGACGGUUCAUUCAAAUUUCUGCCCUAUCAACUUUCGAUGGUAAGGUAUUGGCUUACCAUGGUUUCAACGGGUAACGGGGAAUUAGGGUUCGAUUCCGGAGAGGGAGCCUGAGAAACGGCUACCACAUCCAAGGAAGGCAGCAGGCGCGCAAAUUACCCAAUCCCGACACGGGGAGGUAGUGACAAUAAAUACUGAUACAGGGCUCUUUUGGGUCUUGUAAUUGGAAUGAGUACAAUUUAAACCUCUUAACGAGGAACAAUUGGAGGGCAAGUCUGGGGGGA
RNAcentral lists this ribosomal RNA (497 nucleotides) under Alternaria sp. N36. Its description in RNAcentral is "SSU rRNA". It matches the Rfam family "Eukaryotic small subunit ribosomal RNA", at positions 68 to 569 of the family's 1831-position model. The record is from RNAcentral. Lineage: Eukaryota; Fungi; Ascomycota; Dothideomycetes; Pleosporales; Pleosporaceae.